UUUUCGGAGAGUUUGAUCCUGGCUCAGGACGAACGCUGGCGGCGUGCCUAAUACAUGCAAGUCGAGCGGACAGAAGGGAGCUUGCUCCCGGAUGUUAGCGGCGGACGGGUGAGUAACACGUGGGUAACCUGCCUGUAAGACUGGGAUAACUCCGGGAAACCGGAGCUAAUACCG
Molecule: ribosomal RNA, 174 nt
Filed under: Bacillus altitudinis
Lineage: Bacteria; Bacillati; Bacillota; Bacilli; Caryophanales; Bacillaceae
Description: partial 16S ribosomal RNA
Rfam family: Bacterial small subunit ribosomal RNA
Source: RNAcentral